CCACCGGCCCUUUUCAGGGCCACAAAUCGAUAUAAUUUUGUUUCAU
Regulatory RNA element from Oikopleura dioica, 46 nucleotides. It matches the Rfam family "Histone 3' UTR stem-loop". Rfam says of the family: The mRNAs of metazoan histone genes lack a poly-A tail. 3' end processing occurs at a site between a highly conserved stem-loop (modelled by this family) and a purine rich region around 20 nts downstream (the histone downstream element, or HDE). The stem-loop is bound by a 31 kDa stem-loop binding protein (SLBP - also termed the histone hairpin binding protein, or HBP). Lineage: Eukaryota; Metazoa; Chordata; Appendicularia; Copelata; Oikopleuridae. The record is from Rfam.